Molecule: ribosomal RNA, 466 nt
Filed under: uncultured bacterium
Lineage: Bacteria
Description: partial 16S ribosomal RNA
Rfam family: Bacterial small subunit ribosomal RNA
Source: RNAcentral
GAUGAACGCUGGCGGCGUGCUUAACACAUGCAAGUCGAACGAUGAAGCCCAGCUUGCUGGGUGGAUUAGUGGCGAACGGGUGAGUAACACGUGAGUAACUUGCCCUUAACUCUGGGAUAAGCCUGGGAAACUGGGUCUAAUACCGGAUAGGAGCGCCUACCGCAUGGUGGGUGUUGGAAAGAUUUAUCGGUUUUGGAUGGACUCGCGGCCUAUCAGCUUGUUGGUGAGGUAAUGGCUCACCAAGGCGACGACGGGUAGCCGGCCUGAGAGGGUGACCGGCCACACUGGGACUGAGACACGGCCCAGACUCCUACGGGAGGCAGCAGUGGGGAAUAUUGCACAAUGGGCGAAAGCCUGAUGCAGCGACGCCGCGUGAGGGAUGACGGCCUUCGGGUUGUAAACCUCUUUCAGUAGGGAAGAAGCGAAAGUGACGGUACCUGCAGUAGAAGCACCGGCUAACUACGUG